UAUGGCGACGUGGCUGCUGUCGAAAACCGUGUACAACUGAAUGAACUUACUAUUUUGACUCCAAAAGAUGACGGAAAACGGCACCUUGAGCAUCUUUUGCCGUUGAGUACAUUUUUUCUCUUGUUUGAUGGUGUUUGGAUGGAAAAAAUGAUGUCACGGCAGCUGAAAAACUCAGAAAUGGAACCAUGUGUUACACUGACACUCAAAUGAGUUGUCUCAGAUGGGAUAAAGAGUACAAUGCACAAACAAAGGAACAAAGAGAAUUGACCUCCUCAGCAGUGCAUUAGAAAGUGGUAUGUAGUUAUUCAGGUAUCACCUUGUCAUAUUGAAACA
Molecule: long non-coding RNA, 333 nt
Organism: Pocillopora damicornis (cauliflower coral)
Lineage: Eukaryota; Metazoa; Cnidaria; Anthozoa; Scleractinia; Pocilloporidae
Source: RefSeq, a predicted model, not a curated record